UCCAGGAUGCUCAGCAUGGACCAAGGCUCCUA
Molecule: non-coding RNA, 32 nt
Filed under: Homo sapiens (human)
Lineage: Eukaryota; Metazoa; Chordata; Mammalia; Primates; Hominidae
Source: RNAcentral